CCUACGGGACGCAGCAGUGGGGGAUAUUGCACAAUGGGGGGAACCCUGAUGCAGCGACGCCGCGUGGGUGAAGGAGCACCUCGGUGCGUAAAGCUCUAUCAGCAGGGAAGAAAAUGACGGUACCUGACUAAGAAGCCCCGGCUAACUACGUGCCAGCAGCCGCGGUAAUACGUAGGGGGCAAGCGUUAUCCGGAUUUACUGGGUGUAAAGGGAGCGUAGACGGCAUGGCAAGUCAGAUGUGAAAGCCCGGGGCUCAACCCCGGGACUGCAUUUGAAACUGUCAGGCUG
RNAcentral lists this ribosomal RNA (288 nucleotides) under uncultured bacterium. RNAcentral's name for it is "partial 16S ribosomal RNA". It matches the Rfam family "Bacterial small subunit ribosomal RNA", at positions 338 to 643 of the family's 1533-position model. The record is from RNAcentral.